RNAcentral lists this unclassified non-coding RNA (253 nucleotides) under uncultured Myxococcales bacterium. Its description in RNAcentral is "contains 16S-23S intergenic spacer region". It matches the Rfam family "Bacterial small subunit ribosomal RNA", at positions 524 to 776 of the family's 1533-position model. Lineage: Bacteria; Pseudomonadati; Myxococcota; Myxococcia; Myxococcales. The record is from RNAcentral.
GACAGAGGGUGCAAGCGUUGUUCGGAAUCACUGGGCGUAAAGCGCACGUAGGCGGUCAGGCAAGUCGGAUGUGAAAUCCCGAGGCUCAACCUUGGAACUGCAUCCGAAACUGCUUGACUUGAGUCCCGGAGAGGGUGGUGGAAUUCCUGGUGUAGAGGUGAAAUUCGUAGAUAUCAGGAGGAACAUCGGUGGCGAAGGCGACCGCCUGGACGGUGACUGACGCUGAGGUGCGAAAGCGUGGAUAGCAAACAGG